GAGCAAGCAGAGCUGCCUGUAGAGGGGCCUUAGCAGGAAAGCACUCAACACAUUUUCGUGGUAGACCUAGUGGAGCCUGACGUGUAUGAAUAACUCAUAACUGGAGCCUGGCUAGUGAGGAGCUCAGAGCUGGCUUUGAAAACACCCUAGGGGUUCUCUCCGAGUGGCACGCUGAAAUGUGGCCACACCGGUUCAGGCUAUUUUAAGCUUCAGAAGCGAAGGGAGGCGAGAUGGGGUGAGCCAGAGGGCUCUGAGGGCGAGAUGAGUUCCAGACCAGCUUUCUCUGUGCCUCCAAGAAGAAACCAAGGCUCAGGGAAAGUAAGUACCUUGUCCAAGGGCCCAAGGAGACACAGCGGAGCUGGGAUUUGAAACCAGAUGGGAAAACUGAAGCUUGAAGAACUUAACAAAUCUGCCCGAGGACAUGCAAGGACAUGUAGUCAUCGCCAGCAGUGCCCAGACGGAACCCAGACCCUCUCCCUCCACGGCCCGGAUUCCUGCCUUUAUACUGAGCGCAGAUUUUAGUUCUCUGAAACCAUACCACAGGCUCUCGUGGGACACCUACUCCAAUCCCUCCUCAUUUUACACUGAGAAAACUGAGGCUCUCAAAGCUUGGGUGACUUGCUCAAGGUCACAUAGCUAAUGGCUGCAUGGGCCGGAAUCCAGAUUCUGGACUCUUCAGCUGUGUGUAAGCAAACUCUUAUUUCCUGACUCACAUCAUAAUCUCAGGGAUGUUUUAUCUUCCAUUCUAGCUAAUCUUCACUGGGCAGGGACUUCUACCACUUUGGCUUUAGGUUUCUCUAUCAGUUCACCUUACCCUCUGUCGUAGUUAAUGAGCUGUAACUGCACAAAGAGGAGACUGAGUCAGGGUUUCUGUAAUUGCGAGGGACACUUUGAUAAGGAGACCGCUUUUCAAAACACAAACCCUCCUGCAAUUCGGUGUUGACACCCACAAUCUUUUGCCACUGUGGUCCUGAGCACAGCUACACUAAAACUCGACAAAAUUCCUCUAGGUACCUCUUUGUAUUUUCCUUACAAACACUUGUUGGAAGGGGAGAGGGCGCCUGGGAGGGUAAGAAGUGGGAGAGACAAAAAGCCUAGAAUCUAGGAACCAAAAGGCAUUUGAUGUGAUUUGGCUUUUCUUGAGUAUUUUAGAUGAUCUAGGUUUUUAAAAAAAUUUUAAUUUUUAAUUGUGGUAAAGUAGAUGAUACAGUUCUAAAUAAUAUAAGUAUGGCAGAAAGCCACAUUUUAAUUCCUUGACUGACUCCUCCUUUUAUGAAAUUAACAAAUAUU
This 1290-nucleotide long non-coding RNA is filed under the name Equus asinus (donkey). RNAcentral describes it as "lncRNA (ENSEASG00005023614.1)". The record is from RNAcentral. Lineage: Eukaryota; Metazoa; Chordata; Mammalia; Perissodactyla; Equidae.